This 390-nucleotide long non-coding RNA is filed under the name Mustela putorius furo (domestic ferret). Its description in RNAcentral is "lncRNA (ENSMPUG00000031778.1)". The record is from RNAcentral. Lineage: Eukaryota; Metazoa; Chordata; Mammalia; Carnivora; Mustelidae.
UACGUGGGAAGGGAUCUUAGAAACCACAUAGACACGAUCCUCAUUUUAUAAAUAAGACCAGAAGGACAUCAGAAUGAAGAAAUUGUUUACAUGUAGUCUCACAGUCUCACACCUACCUGAGGAAGAAAGGAGAAAUCACUUAAAGAUGAUCAUCAGGCCUGAAGUGGGAGAUGAUAAUCCAUAUGAUGCUGAACUCCUAUAUAAUUACUGAACAAUAUGUAUGAAGCCAUUGGACAUGACAAGUAUUGAAAUUCUCAGGACAACGUCUAUACUAAACAUGUACUACAUGCUUUGUUAAGAGAAACACUAAUUACCUAUUAUUCUGACUUUGGUAGAGUUUUAUUCUGCUACCUGGGUGUUAAAAUAUUGACAAAACACCCUGGGUCUUGC